GAUGAAGAACGCAGUGAAAUGCGAUAAGUAAUGUGAAUUGCAGAAUUCAGUGAAUCAUCGAAUCUUUGAACGCACAUUGCGCCCGUCAGUAUUCUGGCGGGCAUGCCUGUUCGAGCGUCAUUACGCCCCUCAGGUCCCCUGUGGACUUGGUGUUGGGGAUCGGCGAGGCUGGUUUUCCAGCACAGCCGUCCCUUAAAUUAAUUGGCGGUCUCGCCGUGGCCCUCCUCUGCGCAGUAGUAAAACACUCGCAACAGGAGCCCGGCGCGGUCCACUGCCGUAAAACCCCCCAACUUUUUAUAGUUGACCUCGAAUCAGGUAGGACUACCCGCUGAACUUAAGCAUAUCAAUAAGCGGAGGA
Molecule: unclassified non-coding RNA, 358 nt
Filed under: soil metagenome
Description: partial contains 5.8S ribosomal RNA, internal transcribed spacer 2, and large subunit ribosomal RNA
Rfam family: 5.8S ribosomal RNA (bases 1-120)
Source: RNAcentral